This 31-nucleotide non-coding RNA is filed under the name Mus musculus (house mouse). The record is from RNAcentral. Lineage: Eukaryota; Metazoa; Chordata; Mammalia; Rodentia; Muridae.
UGCUAAGGGAUAAAGACAACUUAAAGGGUUC